Molecule: microRNA precursor, 84 nt
Filed under: Podarcis lilfordi (Lilford's wall lizard)
Lineage: Eukaryota; Metazoa; Chordata; Lepidosauria; Squamata; Lacertidae
Source: RNAcentral
CCCCUGAAACUUUCCCAGAAUGUGCCCCCUUGCCCCCUGAGAGUUUCAGGAGGCAAGGGGGCAUAUUCUGGGAAAGUUUCAGGG